UACGUAGGCGGCGAGCGUUGUCCGGAUUUACUGGGCGUAAAGGGAGCGUAGGCGGACUUUUAAGUGAGAUGUGAAAUACUCGGGCUCAACUUGAGUGCUGCAUUUCAAACUGGAAGUCUAGAGUGCAGGAGAGGAGAAUGGAAUUCCUAGUGUAGCGGUGAAAUGCGUAGAGAUUAGGAAGAACACCAGUGGCGAAGGCGAUUCUCUGGACUGUAACUGACGCUGAGGCUCGAAAGCGUGGGGAGCAAACAGG
This 253-nucleotide ribosomal RNA is filed under the name uncultured bacterium. RNAcentral describes it as "partial 16S ribosomal RNA". It matches the Rfam family "Bacterial small subunit ribosomal RNA", at positions 524 to 776 of the family's 1533-position model. The record is from RNAcentral.